This 22-nucleotide non-coding RNA is filed under the name Arabidopsis thaliana (thale cress). The record is from RNAcentral. Lineage: Eukaryota; Viridiplantae; Streptophyta; Magnoliopsida; Brassicales; Brassicaceae.
UGACCGAUGAACUCAUCAUGGA